UACGGGGGGUGCGAGCGUUGUCCGGAAUCACUGGGCGUAAAGGGCGCGUAGGUGGCUCUGUAAGUUUGCGGUGAAAGCCCGGGGCUUAACCCCGGGUCUGCCGUGGAUACUGCAAGGCUUGAGUACUGUAGAGGCAGGUAGAAUAUCGGGUGUAGCGGUGGAAUGCGUAGAGAUCCGAUAGAAGACCGGUGGCGAAGGCAGUGGGCUGGGCCGGCACUGACGCUGGGGAGCGAAAGCGUGGGGAGCGAACAGG
Molecule: ribosomal RNA, 253 nt
Filed under: uncultured bacterium
Lineage: Bacteria
Description: partial 16S ribosomal RNA
Rfam family: Bacterial small subunit ribosomal RNA
Source: RNAcentral